Molecule: long non-coding RNA, 223 nt
Filed under: Elaeis guineensis (African oil palm)
Lineage: Eukaryota; Viridiplantae; Streptophyta; Magnoliopsida; Arecales; Arecaceae
Description: long non-coding RNA (EGUI_LNC034298)
Source: RNAcentral
ACCAUCGACUAUCAAUGAGUAAGCCAAUCGACAGUUGACAAUUCUCAACCAAUUUUUCUGACAAAUAUCAUUCAACUAUAGCGACUCAACCGGCUUCAUAACUGAUGGCCAGUUGGUAUAUCAGAGUCAUCGACUGAUGGUCAUUCAAAUUUCUACAAUCACCGAUAUACAGUCGAUGCAUUCAAACUACUGACAUAAAGUCGGCAUAUCAGAAAAUACCAGC